Long non-coding RNA from Lotus japonicus, 915 nucleotides. RefSeq lists it as uncharacterized. The transcript has 2 exons. NCBI's taxonomy places the organism in Eukaryota, Viridiplantae, Streptophyta, Magnoliopsida, Fabales, Fabaceae. The record is from RefSeq and is a predicted model, not a curated record.
AACCCAAUUAUUCUCUCCAUGGGCCCCACCAAUCAGAAUUAAUUUCCCUCAUUCACGCUCCCCCCACACACACACUCGACCAUCUCUCUCUUUCUUCUGACUCUCCUUCUUCUCAUUAUCUUCUCUUCACUUUUAUUUCCUCUGCAACCCUAAACUACUCAUCAUCACCAACACACGAUCUUCUUCUCCCAUGGCAGCCGCCACUGAGUCCAGAGCCGCCGCCGCCACCACCACCACCAUGUGCCAACCGCCACCUCCACGCCCUAAUCCUCACGCAACCAUGAACAAGCCACCAUGGUCACCACCACCAAACCCUAGCCGCCACCUUCAAAGCCCGAUCUCCGGCGAACCAUUCAGUUUUUUGGAGAAACUAAUAUCACCACUGAACUCCCCUCAACAUCCGCUUCAAAACCCCUCUAUCGAUUCGAUGAUCGGCCACCGUGACUCCGGCGACCGCCUCCGCCGCCGUCUUCUCCGGCGAGCUUUGUUCUGAGAAAGGAGGCCAUAUUUCUUGAAGCUCUCAACCUCCUCUUCCUGAAUCCAAGGCCCAAUCAUCAGGCUUGCUGGUCAUCAGAGGAAGAGAAGGCCAUGAACAGAGGAAGAAUUGAAGCUCAGUCCCAUGACCAUGAGACUUGAGGUAGAAGGAGAAAGACAUGGACUUUGUGCUUAAAAGUUUUGUGUCAAUAGGGCCCUUAUGCGUCUGUUGUUUGUGUGUGAGUAUUGGUGUCUUGGUUGUCCAUUACAAGGGCAUGCGAGUUCAGUUCUUAUUGCACUUGAAAGGUUUGGUGAAGGCCUACAUAAAAUUGUAGAUUUUGAAACGUAGCACCUUUGUGAAUGUACUGUUUCAUUUUAUUGGAAGUUAUGCAUGAUUAGGGAAUAAGUAAUAAUCAAUUUUAAAACUCUGAUUAUAUGGUA